GGGUUACUGUAAGAUCCUUACAUUGAUGCCCAAACCUGGGACGGGGGAUCUCCCUGUCACCCAAGGCAGAACCGGCUCCCAAACUCUGAGCCCAACUGUUCCUGUCGUAGUCCACUCCUCUGAUCACCUGCCUGACAUCCACCACUGACUCGCGGAUCGGUGAGUUCCCCCAUCCCAUGAGCGCCUGAACCCUAACUCACCAGAAUGAGGGAAUUGACCGAUGAGUGUCCGGCAAUCCCUCCGGGAGUUUUAGGGGUAAAUGCACCCCACUCAGACCCGUAUCUCUAUCAAAGGGUAAUAAGGCCCACUGCCCACCAGUCUCAAGGCAUCACUUUUAUGUGGGACAACUGUAUACCGCUGUCUGCCCCCUGACUGGAAACAUGCACAUGUAUUCUUGUUCUCCUGUUUCCCUAUAAAGACAGUUCCAGGAGAUACAGAAAUACCAAUCCCUCUCAUGACACACAUAAGACCCAAAAGGGCGAUCCAAUUCAUACCUCUCCUCACUACUUUAGGAAUUACAGCAGGCUUGCCAAUGGGUACAGCAGGUUUGACUACCUCCCUCACAUACUAUAAUCAAUUGUCCAAAUCAUUCAUAGAUGACCUCCAACAGGUGAUUGAGCCCAUACUUACCCUCCAAAAUCAAUUAGAUUUCUUUGCAGCAGUAGUCCUACAAAACCACCAAGGCUUAGAUCUACUCACAGUGGAAAAAGGAGGCCUCUGCCCAUUCUUACAGAAAGAAUGUUGUUUUAUGUUAAUCAGUCAGGGAUAGUGAAAGAUAAGAUUAAAAAACUACAGGAACAACUAGAAAAAAGAAGGCUGCAAUUGGUACAACAAUCCUAUUGGGACCUCUUCACAAACCCCUUAUCUGCUGGAGUCUCCCGAUGCUAGGACCUCUAGUUGGGGUCUUUUUAUUCUGUGUCUUCCUUCUUUGCAUUUUAAAUUCCUUCAAGGACAAAUUAACAAAAUCUCUAACCAAACUUUCAAUCAGUUCCUCCUCAGGGAUUACCAGCUACUUGCCAAUGAGCUGGACAACACUUAUGUCUACUCAUACUGAAAAGCCUCCACCAAGUGCUGAAAGACGAAGAUACCAAAUGACAACUCCACCGAAGGGCCAUCUCUACCCCACCAUUCCAAAGAAAUAAGCCCUUGGUUUUUAGCCAUAUAUGUUCUAACCUGCCUUCUCCUGAGCAUAGGUCUUUUUAUCUACCAGCCCUGGAUGACAUGGAUGACAUGCCAGAAAUUAAUGCUGUCUCUUUUGUUCCUUUUCGUAGCUGCAGAUUUGUGGCUUGCACUGUACCUCUGAUCCUCCUCUUAAUGAAGAUGACACCUGUUACCCUCUGAUGCAUGCAAUUCUUACAAGCCCUAGGGGAAGAUAGUUGGCUUAUCUCUCCCCCUGGGCCACCCCAAUGAAUGGCUCAUUAUAUCCAACAAUUUGUGGUUGCAGGGCACGUUCAUGGACUUCUCCCCGGAGGAAAUCCAUGCUUUCAGCACAUGGAUGUGGGGCCUCCUGGCCCUCCUUCUCCAACCAACUGACCUCCCUCCCUCUAAACAACACCCCUACUUAGCAGGAAGAAGCCAGAACUAGUAUGAUGCCCCCAAACCAAAACAAAAAAGGGAGGAAUGUUGGUAAAGAUGGCGCCCGAAGUGCAUCUCUUCCGGGAGUUCAGGUCCAUGAUGCACUGAAUGGCGUGAACUACCACCUAAGUGGCACAAACCAUCACCUCCAAUCCCUGAAAUGGCGCAAACUGUGACCUCCCACCCCUAGGAGACUAAUACCCUGUCCUGCCCAGAAAUGGACCCUUGGUCAAUAAAGAAGUAAGAGCCAACUCCCCAUGCUCAUUCUCUCU
This 1847-nucleotide long non-coding RNA is filed under the name Marmota monax (woodchuck). Lineage: Eukaryota; Metazoa; Chordata; Mammalia; Rodentia; Sciuridae. The record is from RNAcentral.